Molecule: ribosomal RNA, 220 nt
Filed under: uncultured bacterium
Lineage: Bacteria
Description: partial 16S ribosomal RNA
Rfam family: Bacterial small subunit ribosomal RNA
Source: RNAcentral
GACGAACGCUGGCGGCGUGCUUAACACAUGCAAGUCGAGCGAGGCCCUUCCUUCGGGAAGGUGCCCUAGCGGCGAACGGGUGAGUAACACGUGGGCAACCUGCCCUCAGCUCUGGGAUAACCCCGGAACCGGGGACGUAUACGUACGUACGACCACAGUGGGCGAUCGCUGUGGUGGAAAGAAUUAUUCGGCGUGAGGAGUGGCCCGGCCGGCCGUACUC